This 668-nucleotide ribosomal RNA is filed under the name Fusarium sp. 2 JAS-2013. RNAcentral's name for it is "eukaryotic LSU rRNA". The stretch from base 326 to 479 matches the Rfam family "5.8S ribosomal RNA". The record is from RNAcentral. Lineage: Eukaryota; Fungi; Ascomycota; Sordariomycetes; Hypocreales; Nectriaceae.
UUGUACACACCGCCCGUCGCUACUACCGAUUGAAUGGCUCAGUGAGGCGUUCGGACUGGCCCAGAGAGGUGGGCAACUACCACUCAGGGCCGGAAAGUUCUCCAAACUCGGUCAUUUAGAGGAAGUAAAAGUCGUAACAAGGUCUCCGUUGGUGAACCAGCGGAGGGAUCAUUACCGAGUUAUACAACUCAUCAACCCUGUGAACAUACCUAUAACGUUGCCUCGGCGGGAACAGACGGCCCCGUAACACGGGCCGCCCCCGCCAGAGGACCCCCUAACUCUGUUUCUAUAAUGUUUCUUCUGAGUAAACAAGCAAAUAAAUUAAAACUUUCAACAACGGAUCUCUUGGCUCUGGCAUCGAUGAAGAACGCAGCGAAAUGCGAUAAGUAAUGUGAAUUGCAGAAUUCAGUGAAUCAUCGAAUCUUUGAACGCACAUUGCGCCCGCCAGUAUUCUGGCGGGCAUGCCUGUUCGAGCGUCAUUACAACCCUCAGGCCCCCGGGCCUGGCGUUGGGGAUCGGCGGAAGCCCCCUGCGGGCACAACGCCGUCCCCCAAAUACAGUGGCGGUCCCGCCGCAGCUUCCAUUGCGUAGUAGCUAACACCUCGCAACUGGAGAGCGGCGCGGCCACGCCGUAAAACACCCAACUUCUGAAUGUUGACCUCGAAUCA